This 1803-nucleotide unclassified non-coding RNA is filed under the name Hevea brasiliensis (rubber tree). Lineage: Eukaryota; Viridiplantae; Streptophyta; Magnoliopsida; Malpighiales; Euphorbiaceae. The record is from RNAcentral.
AUUUUUUUUAGUGUACAAAUUAAAUUAAAAGUUUAAUAAAAUUUAAAUUAAUAAUAAAAAACUAAUAACUAAUAGGAAUAUAUAAAAUUGAUAAAUAAUAUUUAUAUUAAAAAUAAAAUAAUUUUAUUGAGAAAUAAGUAUUAAUUUGAUCAUAAGAAAUUAAAAAUGUCAAAGAGAAAAAGAAAAGUAACAUAUUAUUUUUUUUAAAAAAAGUAAAAUAAUAAUUUUUCCUUUUUUAAUUUAGAUAACGGCUGUUGUAAGUUACAAAAUUUUCUUUACCAUGGCAAUUUUAACCGACCUCGGAUUCCCAUAUAAACACUGUUAUCUGCUUUCCAAGUUUUCUCCGGCCAAUCUUCAACUCCUCCGAGCUGUCGCAAUCAGUUAUCCAAAAUAACUCCAAAAACAUCACAUUUUCUAAAAAUGAAAUAUUUAUCUGGUUAGAACCAACAAGGAACUGGAGGGACAGAGCUUGAGUGCAGCUCUGUGGCUUGAGGGAGCUUAAAAAACCUUCUGCAUAACUUUUUAUGUUCACAUUCAGCUUAUCCAAAUGUUUCAAAUACUUCAACUGCUCUACCAAAAAUUCAUUCUUUCCAGGAGGAAUAUUAAUUCCAUUACCCCAUCCCAAGAACCUAAAGUUCCUUCUUCAGAAUCAGGAGAGAAAGAAAGGUAAGCACUCCUUCACCCUGCAUUCAGGUCCCCCAUUUUUGAAUUUGUUGAGGCUUGAGAUUUUUCAUCCCUAUAUUUAUCAAAAUGAUUGUGAACUUCUGAAUACUUGGCAAAAUUAGCUUACAUUUUGUAUGAUCCAAUAAACAAAUUAUGAAUUCACCUAAUCCAUUCAGCUAGAUUUCCAUUUCUGUGCAAAUGGAUGAAGCCAUAUCUUCCACCUUUAAUAUUGUGGCCUUGAAGGCAUGCAUGUCCAGAAAGUAUCUAAAUCCUCAAAUAAAGUUCUUUAAAGAUUUUCGGUCUUCCAAUCCUGAAAAUUUUCAAAGUACACAUACCAGCACCAAAGUCUCUCAUGACAAAGAAAAGAAAACCACCAAAAAUCUAAGCAACCAACAAUCAAACCCAAAACUCUACGUAUAAUCUGCCCCCCGCCUUGCCCAACAAUCCAGCCAUACAUAAUUAAUGAUGCAUACAUUUGUAAAUAAUACACGGUUAACGCCUUCAAGCAACUCGGUGAUUAACUCAAUAAAAUGGUCUACAUAGCGAUCAUGAACAUCUUUAUCUGCUGUUCCAGGAAAUUCUUUUGUAGAUCUGUCAAAUUAAGUUUAUAAAUAAAUUACAAUAAAUAUGUGGUCUCGAAUCUAGUUUGCAUUAUCAUAAAAAUAUCUUCUUUGUUUUUCUUUUUUUCUUCCUUAUUCUUUUUACAGGUUUACUUUAAAGGGGAAAUUUAUUAGAUGCCUUCAGUGUAAUACAUGUUUGAGGUAAGUUUUAAUUGCAAUGGUGGCUGUAAGAACAUACAACACGUGUUGUAUUAUUAUCGGUUGAGAACAUUAAAUUAUCAAUUUGACAGAUAUAACGGUUUCGUCUAAUGAUUUCCUAGCAGUAGUAGGUAAAUUAUAUCAUUCAUCCUUCAAUUUUGGAGGUAAUUAAAUGUUCGUCUCAUAGCUUUAGUUUAUUACCGUACAAUCUCUCAAUAUUAAUUUUAUUUCAAAAAAAAUUCUUUUAAUCUAUAAUAACAUAUUUUUAAAUAAAAAAUUAUAAAUUAUUUCAUUUGUCUCUCAACUUUAAAAAUUAUUUCAUGUCUAUUCCUCAACUUUAUUCUAGUACUAUAAAAUCUUUUAUUUUAAUUUUAUUUUCAAC